RNAcentral lists this transfer RNA (64 nucleotides) under Marmota monax (woodchuck). It matches the Rfam family "tRNA". From Rfam's summary of the family: Transfer RNA (tRNA) molecules are approximately 80 nucleotides in length. Their secondary structure includes four short double-helical elements and three loops (D, anti-codon, and T loops). The record is from Rfam by way of RNAcentral. RNAcentral also lists the same sequence under 2 other names. Lineage: Eukaryota; Metazoa; Chordata; Mammalia; Rodentia; Sciuridae.
GGGGAUUUGGCUCAGUGGUAAAGUGCUUGCCUAGUAUGCAUGAGGCUCUUAGUUCAAAUCCCCA